Colletotrichum orbiculare MAFF 240422 is the source of this 46-nucleotide non-coding RNA. The record is from Rfam. Lineage: Eukaryota; Fungi; Ascomycota; Sordariomycetes; Glomerellales; Glomerellaceae.
UUUAAGGUUUUUCUAAAAACCAAAAAGCUUCUAUUAUAAUAUAAUU